Molecule: long non-coding RNA, 339 nt
Filed under: Setaria italica (foxtail millet)
Lineage: Eukaryota; Viridiplantae; Streptophyta; Magnoliopsida; Poales; Poaceae
Description: long non-coding RNA (SITA_LNC005621)
Source: RNAcentral
CACUUGUAGGCUUGAAGCUUAUAGUUUUUGAUAGGAGUAGCACCUGCCCAAAAGCAUGAUGCUAGAAGAAUUCUCAUAAGGAAAACCAGGGUGCUACUUCCUUUCGCAGUCUCUGCGGUGAAGUUGGGAGGUAACAAUGCUAGAAGAAUCCUCAUGAGGAGGUUAUAUCGUUAUCCCCGUCGCUUUGUCCAGGACACACCGCUACGGAAGUGUGUAGCACAACUUUCUUGUAUUGUGCUUUUUUUCUUUUUUUUGCGUUGUAGCUUCUUAUCCUGGGAUGUCAGCUAUCCCAGAGCUAUUUACAGUUGCUUGUAAUAUGUAUUUGUCAGCAGUCUUUCC